RNAcentral lists this ribosomal RNA (504 nucleotides) under uncultured bacterium. RNAcentral's name for it is "partial 16S ribosomal RNA". It matches the Rfam family "Bacterial small subunit ribosomal RNA", at positions 29 to 523 of the family's 1533-position model. The record is from RNAcentral.
AUUGAACGCUGGCGGCAGGCCUAACACAUGCAAGUCGAGCGGUAGCACAGAGAGCUUGCUCUCGGGCGACGAGCGGCGGACGGGUGAGUAAUGUCUGGGAAACUGCCUGAUGGAGGGGGAUAACUACUGGAAACGGUAGCUAAUACCGCAUAACGUCGCAAGACCAAAGUGGGGGACCUUCGGGCCUCAUGCCAUCAGAUGUGCCCAGAUGGGAUUAGCUAGUAGGUGGGGUAACGGCUCACCUAGGCGACGAUCCCUAGCUGGUCUGAGAGGAUGACCAGCCACACUGGAACUGAGACACGGUCCAGACUCCUACGGGAGGAAGCAGUGGGGAAUAUUGCACAAUGGGCGCAAGCCUGAUGCAGCCAUGCCGCGUGUGUGAAGAAGGCCUUCGGGUUGUAAAGCACUUUCAGCGGGGAGGAAGGCGGUGAGGUUAAUAACCUCAUCGAUUGACGUUACCCGCAGAAGAAGCACCGGCUAACUCCGUGCCAGCCGCCGCCGUAA